This 164-nucleotide ribosomal RNA is filed under the name uncultured bacterium. Its description in RNAcentral is "partial 16S rRNA". It matches the Rfam family "Bacterial small subunit ribosomal RNA", at positions 355 to 511 of the family's 1533-position model. The record is from RNAcentral.
UAGGGAGUCUUCCACAAUGGGCGAAAGCCUGAUGGAGCAACGCCGCGUGUGUGAUGAAGGGUUUCGGCUCGUAAAACACUGUUGUAAGAGAAGAAUGACAUUGAGAGUAACUGUUCAAUGUGUGACGGUAUCUUACCAGAAAGGAACGGCUAAAUACGUGCCAG